This is a long non-coding RNA of Folsomia candida, 246 nucleotides long. RefSeq lists it as uncharacterized. The record is from RefSeq and is a predicted model, not a curated record. Lineage: Eukaryota; Metazoa; Arthropoda; Collembola; Entomobryomorpha; Isotomidae. The transcript is spliced from 2 exons.
AUUAGCUGUCAUUAAUAAGGAACAUCUAAAAACAGGACAGGAGCCACUAAUUCGAGAAAGUAUUAUUGACAUACGUGUGGAUAAUACUUGGCAACGACAGAUUGAAAACGAUCUCCAGGAGGCAGCCAACGUUGCUCUACCCGAUGAUGAUGAAGAUCUAUAAGCUCCAUCUUUUCUCACUAAAGCUAACAGCAACAUCUUCGUCGUCGAUAAUUUGUUCGUAUGAACUUUGUUUAUGCAAUUUAA